UACGAAGGGGGCUAGCGUUGCUCGGAAUCACUGGGCGUAAAGCGCACGUAGGCGGCUUCUCAAGUCAGGGGUGAAAUCCUGGAGCUCAACUCCAGAACUGCCUUUGAUACUGAGGGGCUCGAGUCCGGGAGAGGGAAGCGGAAUUCCCGGUGUAGUGGUGAAAUGCGUAGAUAUCGGGAGGAACACCAGUGACGAAGGCGGCUUCCUGGCCUGUUCUUGACGCUGAGGCGCGAAAGCUAGGGUAGCAAACGGG
RNAcentral lists this ribosomal RNA (253 nucleotides) under uncultured bacterium. RNAcentral's name for it is "partial 16S ribosomal RNA". It matches the Rfam family "Bacterial small subunit ribosomal RNA", at positions 524 to 776 of the family's 1533-position model. The record is from RNAcentral.